UUUUUUUUUUUUUUUUUGAGACAAGCUUUCUCUUGAACCUUGACUUCACCAAUUCUGCCAUACUGACUGGUCCAGUCAGUUGCAGGCAUCCUCCUAGCCCUGGCCCUGCUAUCAUACCCCCCACAUAACUGCCCCAGUGCUGAGGUUACAGAUGUUCACCUCUGUCCCUGGGUUUUACAUGGCUGUUGGGGAUCCAGACUCUGGGUCUCAUACUUACAUAGCAGUACCAUAUCAGCUGAGCCAUCUCCCUCAUCUCCUUGAUGUCAGCAUUGUCAAAGCCAUAAGGCUGUUAGGUGCAUUAAUACAGUACAGGGACGUGCAUGAGUCACCUAUGCCGGUUUACCAUUUGAUCAUUUGCUGGUCUCAAGUGAACUAAGAAGUUGUUACAGAUAGUUGAGCUGCCGUGUGAGUGCUGGGGAAUGAAGCGGGGUCCUCUGGAAGAGUAGUCAGUGUUCUUAACUGCUGAGCCACCUCUCUCAACCCUUUAAACUUUUUAUAUGUGUGUGUUUUUUUAGGAAGCUUCUACAGUAGUAAGCUUCCAUAUGACCUUUUCAGAAUACCUUUUAUGUUAGUUGUUCCUUCCUUCAUCUCCUCUACCCUCCCAGCUGCCUUCUGCUUAAGCCCUUCAUGUAUACUUAUUCCCCUUAGCCCUCUAUAUUCUUGCAUUCUAUCUCCAUCCCUUACAGCAAGAAUGUGUAAUGUUUGCCAUAUGGUGAAUGUCUUCCAAGGAAAGGAAAUACAGAAAAUGCUAGCAGGGCAGGGACCUAGCUAGCUAACAAAUUUCUGUAUUGCUUCUCAGAAAUCUACAUACAAAAAAUAUAUUUACUGCAUCCUUUAAAAAAAAUCUUAUUGGCUAGAUUCAUAGAACAAAACUUUAAGUUAUGUUAGUUGGGGUGCAAAAUUAAUACCUUGGCAGGAGUUGGUACUAAAACAGAUUGGGUGCUGGAGCUGGCUUGUUUGUUUUAGAGCCCUUGUUGCUCUUGCAGGGGGCCUUGGUAGGGUUCUCAGCACUCACAUGAUGGCUCACAACCAUCUGUAACUCCAGUUCCAGGGAAUCUGACACUAGGUUAAAGGAGGUUAAAGGAGGUAUUCAGAACAAGUAGAGAGUUUAUUUUGUUUGCUGAUUAAUUUCUUUUCAGAUAAUUUAUUAAUAAGGUCUAACUACUAAUACCAUUUAUUUAUAGUGGCCAAUACCCUUUUUCUUAAUGCCUCUCUCCCUAUCAGAAAUUUAUGGGAUAAUAUAUAAUUUUAUUAGUAAGUGGCUUCUGGGAUUGGUGAAAUGGCUCAAUGAGUAAAGUCACUUGUGUAAGCCUGGCAGCCUGAUUUUGAUUCUCAGAACUCCUAUAAAGGUGAGAAGAAAGAACCAGCUCCACAAAUUUGAUCAGACACACUAUGGUAUGUUCAACACACACAUAUGUAAACAGCAAUACAUUUUUAAAAACCUUUUGAACUUAGGCUACUUAUACAGUUUAAUCCGUUCCUUAGAAUACGGUUCCUACCUGACAGCUCCUCUUCAGGCCCUAAGGUUCCCCACUAUUACCUCUCUCUCUAUCUCUGGCCCUCAGGUUCCCCACUAUUACCCCCCUCUCUCUCUCUGUGUGUGUGUGUGUGUGUGUGUGUGUGUGUGAGAGAGAGAGAGAGAGAGAGAGAGAGAGAGAGAGAGAGAGAGAGAAGGGAGAAGAAGGAGGAGGAGUGGGGUGGGGGGAGAGAGAUCCAUUCACUUCCUGCAGCAACAAUUAUCCUGCAGUCAUCUUGGUCUAAAAUUUUUAAUUGACAAAUUCAAGAAAUACCUUGUAAGUUUUAAAUUUGUGUACUAUUCAGUGGAGUUUGAUAAAAUUUUCAUGCCAUCAUGCUUCAUCCCACCCUAUAGUCCCGACUGUCCUGGAAAUCACCAGACCAGGAUGGCCUGGAACUCACAGAGAUCCACUUGCACCUGCCACUCAAGUUCUGGAAUUAAAGUUCUGCACUAACACACCCUGAAGAAACACCCCUGCUGCUCUCAUAAUAAGGUUUAAAACCUAUGCAGUGAGAAGGUAGUAGUCUGAUUUCAGCAAACAUGUUGUAUUAGUAACGGUUCUCUAAAGGAAUGGAACACAUAGAACACACACACACACACACACACACACACACACACACACGCACACACACAGAGACUUUAUUAGAGUGGUGUACAAGCUGUGGUCCAAGUAAUCUAGCUAUGGCUGUCUGUUGAUGGAAAGGACAAAAAUCUGGUAGUUGUUAAGUCCUAAGAGAGCUGCUGGCCUGCAGGCUACCUUGGUAUUCUGACAGCAGAAGGUGGGACCCAGAUUUAGGGUUGAUCCUCUGACUUCAAGUAAUCUGAAUUUCAAAUGGGUCUCCCACCUCAAAUAGUCCAACCAAGAAAAAUAUUUUUGCUUGGUCUUAGUUAAUUCUAGAUGUCAAGUAGACAACCAAGGAUUUAUCCAUCACAAAUGUUUUGUUCCUUCAAUUCUAAAUUUGUAGGGAUUUAUCGUAAUUAGUUGUUUUAGCACAUAUGUCUCCUUGAAGACUGGCUUAAAGUACUCUUUUUGAUAAGAUAAAAAACAACAAUGCUCAGAAAUAAGAAUUGCAGCAACUAAUAUGCCACAAUAGUGCUACAAAUACUUUUCAUACCUUAAUCCAUGUAUUCUCAUAACUUCUCCUAUAGCUGGCUUUAUUAGUUUUAUUGCCAUUUUAUAGAUUGGAAGCCAUAAUUUAUUGACUCAAGGUAGUCUGGCUUCAUUCAGCAUUCAUCUUGUCCCGUUCUGGCCUAACAGACUCUCAGUUCCUGGGUCAUCCUGUGCUUCCUGUAGUGUGCUGUGAGCACUGGCAUGUAUUUCAGUUUGAUGGCCAUUACCCACUCUUUACCACUCUUUACUCGGUUGGUUGACUUUUUUUUUUUUAAGACAUGGUCUCUUAUAGCCUAAGCUGGCUUCAGGUUUUUUUAUGCAGCUUAUACUGACCUUAAACUUCUGGUCCCUUGUGUCACUACCCACAAGUGCUGGGUUUUAGGGAUGUACUACCACACCUGGCUUUCCCGUUUUCAGUAUGUGUUUGUAUAGCAACUUCCUAUGUACAGUCUUGGGAUUUAUUCUGGGAGUAAAAGUUUUGUUACACCUCUUGAAAUUUUUCCAGAACAUAGAAAUACCUGUUUUGAUUGGAUACAAUUACGGGGGCGCGUUCCUCAUCCCUUUCUUCCCUCCAGCCUCUUCCAGACCCCUCUGCUCAAAUGCAUGGCCUCCUACAUCUUAUUGUUGUUGUUGCUAUAUAUGUAUGUAAACAAAACUAUAUAAGUAAAACCUUCAGAGUCAGUUGAGGGUUGCUUGUAUGUAUAUGAUUUCAGGACUAAGCAUUUGGCAUGGGAUAACUUUAUUUAGGGGGCCCUCUCUAAACAGUUGUUAAUUGCCAGUGAAUUUCCAUCUAAGGUUGGAGCCCCAUGAGAUUUCUCCCAUUCACCUUAGCAUGUCAGUCGGUAUUUUCAUUGUUGUGGUAUUGUCUAGGCAACACAUUGUUGAUGUUUUAUGGACGCAAUCCUCCUGUCACAAGACAUACUCAGCAGACUUCCUGGUCCUCCGGCUCUUAACAGUCUUUCUGCCACAACAAUGUUCCCUGAGUCCUGGGUGUGCAGUUGUCUUGUUGAUGUUUCCAUUUAAAUUGGGCACCCCUCUUAGAGUUUCUUUUGCUGCAAUGAAACACCAUGUCCAAAGAGCAAAUUGGGGAGGAAAAAAAAGUUUAUUUGGCUUACACUUCUGUAUUACUGUUCAUUAUAGAAGGAAUUCAGAAUAAGAACUCAAACAGGGCAUGGAAGCAGGGGCUGAUGCAGAGGCCAUGGAGAGGUGGUGCUAACUGGCUUGCUCAGCCUGCUUUCUUAUAGAACCCACAAUAGGUUGUGCCCUCCCCCAUUGAUCACUAGUUGAAAAAAAUGCCUUACAGCUGCAUCUGAUGGAGGCAUUUCCUCAACUGAGGCUCCUUCCUCUCUGAUGACUCUAGCUUGUGUUAAGUUGACACAAAGCCACCCAGUACAGCACCCCAGACCAGUUGUUCUCAGUAUAUUGACAAUUGUGGCUUUCUGUAAUGGACUUUGUUUUCUAGG
This 4090-nucleotide long non-coding RNA is filed under the name Mus musculus (house mouse). Its description in RNAcentral is "long non-coding RNA chr7:75629600-75633690". The record is from RNAcentral. Lineage: Eukaryota; Metazoa; Chordata; Mammalia; Rodentia; Muridae.